ACAGUGGCACAACCUCCCAGGUGCCUUUGAUCUUAGCACUUUGAGAUUGCUUUUAGCAAUGAAAAGUGCUUUAUAAAUGAAAUUUAUUAUUAUUAUUAUUUGAUAAAAGGAUGAAAGAGGCACGGCUGGCAUUUUUCAUUUUCUCGCUUUUCAACACUACAUCUGAAACGACUGAGGCCAGACAAGGUUAAGACCAGGCAUCAACACCUCUUCACCAGGUUUUAAAAGUAAAUGCCCUUGGCUGCUGCCCGAUUCUUUUUCUUGGACAUCUGGGCUGGAACAGGGAGAUUUACAGGGACAUGGUCCACCACAUCUCUCUGACUGAUGGGGUUGUCCAGGAGAUAGUAAAAAAAAAAAUGAGAAAACUGUAUGAGCACCUCAUGAAAAAGUUGUUUGUUCCACAAGUAGCUGGGGACCUACAGCUGCUGCUGAAACACCGGCUGGUCCUGUGCCCCUGGUAAACAACUGUCCACCAGUCCCCCUCUGUGGACAAUCAAUCUGAAGCAGGACCAGAACCAGAAGAAGAAUUUGUUCUACAUCUUCUUCCUGUUGUUUUUCCAUCUCCCCCGUCUCAGCCUCUUCCAUCGUCCUCCACCUUCUCUCAGCCCCCUGCUUCAUCUUCCUCCACCUCUUCUCAGCCUCCUUGUCCUUUCUCCUCCUCUCCGCCUCCUUCUCCUUCUUUCUCCUCCUUCGUCUUCCUCCAUCUC
Scophthalmus maximus (turbot) is the source of this 707-nucleotide long non-coding RNA. RefSeq lists it as uncharacterized. The transcript is spliced from 3 exons. The record is from RefSeq and is a predicted model, not a curated record. Lineage: Eukaryota; Metazoa; Chordata; Actinopteri; Pleuronectiformes; Scophthalmidae.